GGUGACUCAGUAAUAGAGUGCUUGCCUUGCAUGCAUGAGGCCCUAGGUUCAAUUCCUCAGCACCA
RNAcentral lists this transfer RNA (65 nucleotides) under Dipodomys ordii (Ord's kangaroo rat). It matches the Rfam family "tRNA". From Rfam's summary of the family: Transfer RNA (tRNA) molecules are approximately 80 nucleotides in length. Their secondary structure includes four short double-helical elements and three loops (D, anti-codon, and T loops). Lineage: Eukaryota; Metazoa; Chordata; Mammalia; Rodentia; Heteromyidae. The record is from Rfam by way of RNAcentral.